Molecule: ribosomal RNA, 322 nt
Filed under: uncultured eukaryote
Lineage: Eukaryota
Description: partial 18S ribosomal RNA
Rfam family: Eukaryotic small subunit ribosomal RNA
Source: RNAcentral
CCCUUAGAUGUUCUGGGCCGCACGCGUGCUACACUGAGUGGAUCAGCGGGUCAGGUUGCGCGAAAGCGUUUCCUAAUCUUUAAAUCCGCUCGUGAUGGGGAUUGACGGUUGCAAUUUUCUGUCAUGAACGAGGAAUACCUUGUAAGCGCGGGUCAUCAUUCCGCGCUGAAUACGUCCCUGCCCUUUGUACACACCGCCCGUCGCUCCUACCGAUUGAGUGGUCCGGUGAGGCUUUGGGAUCUGAGCGGAAAGAGCGUUUCGCUGUUUCUGCUCGGAAAACUCAGUCGAACCUUAUCAUUUAGAGGAAGGAGAAGUCGUAACA